Molecule: RNA transcript, 1023 nt
Organism: Fragaria vesca subsp. vesca
Lineage: Eukaryota; Viridiplantae; Streptophyta; Magnoliopsida; Rosales; Rosaceae
Exons: 3
Source: RefSeq, a predicted model, not a curated record
GGGUUGACCCGUCUCUCUCUCUCCUCCUCCUCCUCUCUCUCUCCCCCGCAGCCAUCUUCUGUGCCGCUCUCCUGCCGAUUCCGGCCAUUCCAGACGGCAAGACCGCCACCAAACUCUUCCUCUUCUUCUCAUCUACAAAACCUAGUCCAUAGAUCACACACGCAACCCAAUUCAAAGGAGACUGAAUGAAAAGAAGAGCUCGGCUAUGUUCUGCAUUUUCUGGUGACCGAUUCACGUCCAUGUGCCAAUAACACUGACGACGGCUCCGAGUUCCAUCCGGCCGUCGACCAUUGGAUUGGCCACCUUCUCCUUGAGCCUCAGAAGUCUGGGAAAGAAGAGGCUGAAAGGAGAAUUGGGCAGAGCUACUGCGUUGGUGGUAGAGGAAUGAACCUCAGGUUCAUAUCCUCUUUUGGUUCAUUUGGCCGCAAAUUGCUGAGUCAUUCUUUAGAGAGGCUGAGAUCAUUUUUAGGAUUUUGAUAUUAAGGUGAGUAGCUGCUGAGUUUACAAAUUUGGUUUAUGGCUUUGGGUUAGUUUCUCACUCAUGGUUGAUGUAUGAAAUUGGCAAGGUACGUUGGCGAUGAAAGUGUUAAUGCAGCUAAACACCUUUUGGGUGCUGAGAGUAAAUUAUAGAGUUCCAUUUUGAGCUUUUAAAUGAGGUGAGGGUGAACUUUAUUUUGGAAGUUUGUUGGUAGCUAGACACAUACAAUACAAUUUUGCAAAAUAUGUAGAGCUAUAAAAAUUAUAUUGAUUGAUGUAUUGUCUAUUGGGUACAAAGUAAUGGUGUUUUUUCAUUGUGAUGCUUAACAUUUCUUGCCAAUAAGAUUUUUCAUUUUCUGCAUUUGAUCAGAUAAUCAUUCAAUGUAAUUUUUUUUACUAAGUUAAGAUACCAGAAAUGUGAGGCCAUAAAGAACAACCGGCAAUGUAAAUGUAGAGUUUAAAUCAAAAGAAGACAUCACUUAUAUAUCGCUCAAGCUCAUUCAUACAAUAGACAAAUGUCGCCUGAAAAUGUCGAAAACCUAAAAG